This 369-nucleotide ribosomal RNA is filed under the name uncultured bacterium. RNAcentral's name for it is "bacterial SSU rRNA". It matches the Rfam family "Bacterial small subunit ribosomal RNA", at positions 527 to 896 of the family's 1533-position model. The record is from RNAcentral.
GUAGGGUGCGAGCGUUAAUCGGAAUUACUGGGCGUAAAGCGUGCGCAGGCGGUUAUGUAAGACAGAUGUGAAAUCCCCGGGCUCAACCUGGGAACUGCAUUAGUGACUGCAUAGCUGGAGUGCGGCAGAGGGGGAUGGAAUUCCGCGUGUAGCAGUGAAAUGCGUAGAUAUGCGGAGGAACACCGAUGGCGAAGGCAAUCCCCUGGGCCUGUACUGACGCUCAUGCACGAAAGCGUGGGGAGCAAACAGGAUUAGAUACCCUGGUAGUCCACGCCCUAAACGAUGUCAACUGGUUGUUGGGUCUUCACUGACUCAGUAACGAAGCUAACGCGUGAAGUUGACCGCCUGGGGAGUACGGCCGCAAGGUUG